CCUAAAAGUUAAGGAAGGAGCCUCAGUAAUGGAAUUGCUUCUUGACCUUUUGCAAACCUCAAUUUAGCAAAAUAAUUAGGAACGAUCUAAUAGUGAUGAUACAGUUUUUAACUGCUGGAUCAGCGACGCCUAUUUCAAGUAGUGAUACUAACUAAACUUUCGCCGGUCUUUCCUGUGUCUGUGGGCCUUCCUCCUGGUGUGACAGACUUGGGGAUUUCUUGUAAACUUCCUAACUAGUCUGAACCUUUUUAUUUCUUAUUGGGAACUGACACUUCCCUAUACUUUAAAACUCACAUAUGUAUAUUUUUGUACAUCUAUCUCCUAAUUCAAAAGUAAUUGAGAUUGUCAUUUCAUUAUAAUUCCGUGAGUAUCUUUAAAUUACUAUCAAAUAUGUUACUAAAUAAUUUAAUAAGAAUAUAGAAAUGAAGCCACUGAGAUCCUUAAAGUUGAAACCUGAUUGUUAUUAUAUUUUCAGUAAGGAUUUGGAGAUUUUUGGACAUUUUUACUCUCAUAAUCUAUGCAGUACUGAAAUGAGGUCUAAUAAAUAUAACCAAUACAUGUUAGGCCAUAGGUUCUUAAAUUUAGCUACCUGUUCACCUCAACUUGAGAGCUCUUAAAACCCUCAGUGUCCAGGUUGCAGCUCAGACUAGUUAAAUAACGUUUUAUCCCUAGAAAUGUUUUUUUUAAAGCUACCCAGAUGAUUCCAAUAGGCGUCAAGGCUAAUAGCCACUGAUUCAGGCCUUGCUAUUCAAAAGUAUGGUCCGUAAACCAGCAGCAUCCCUGAGAGCUUGUUGGAAACUAGAAUUCAGGGAUCUUUUGUAGACCUACUGAGACAGGCGCUACCUGUACCAACAUCUCUAGAUGAUUCCUGUGCAUAAUAAAAUCUGAUAAACAAAGGCAAUAGGUUAUUCU
Molecule: long non-coding RNA, 912 nt
Filed under: Homo sapiens (human)
Lineage: Eukaryota; Metazoa; Chordata; Mammalia; Primates; Hominidae
Description: long non-coding RNA NONHSAT249107
Source: RNAcentral